GGGCUAAGUGUGUGGACUGUCUGGUAGGUAAAUCCGCUGGGCAUGAAGGUUGAGGCAUGAUGGGGAGCCCACGGUUGUGGGUGAGUGAGUGAUCCUGUACUGUCGAGAAAAGCUUCGUGAGCGAGGUGGCGGGUCCGCCCGUACCCUAAACCGACACUGGUGGAUAGGUAGAGUAUACCGAGGCGAUCGAGUGAAUCGUGGUGAAGGAACUCGGCAAAAUGCCCCCGUAACUUUGGGAUAAGGGGGACCUGAGCUGUCGUGCACCCGUGCGGUGUGGUGGCAGUGAGGGGCGCAGAGUCCAGGGGGAAACGACUGUUUACCAAAAACACAGGUCCGUGCGAAGUCGUAA
Molecule: ribosomal RNA, 349 nt
Filed under: Xanthomonas citri pv. citri
Lineage: Bacteria; Pseudomonadati; Pseudomonadota; Gammaproteobacteria; Lysobacterales; Lysobacteraceae
Description: partial 23S ribosomal RNA
Rfam family: Bacterial large subunit ribosomal RNA
Source: RNAcentral